CCCGCCGAGUUUAAGCAUAUCAAUAAGCGGA
This 31-nucleotide ribosomal RNA is filed under the name Roldana heterogama. RNAcentral describes it as "partial 26S ribosomal RNA". Lineage: Eukaryota; Viridiplantae; Streptophyta; Magnoliopsida; Asterales; Asteraceae. The record is from RNAcentral.